GCGUUAAGUCGACCGCCUGGGGAGUACGGCCGCAAGGUUAAAACUCAAAUGAAUUGACGGGGGCCCGCACAAGCGGUGGAGCAUGUGGUUUAAUUCGAUGCAACGCGAAGAACCUUACCUGGUCUUGACNUCCACGGAAGUUUUCNNAGAUGANAAUGUGCCUUCGGGAACCGNGANACAGGNGCUGCNUGGNUGUCGUCAGCUCGUGUUGUGAAAUGUUGGGUUAAGUCCCGCAACGAGCGCAACCCUUAUCCUUUGUUGCCAGCGGUCCGGCCGGGAACUCAAAGGAGACUGCCAGUGAUAAACUGGAGGAAGGUGGGGAUGACGUCAAGUCAUCAUGGCCCUUACGACCAGGGCUACACACGUGCUACAAUGGCGCAUACAAAGAGAAGCGACCUCGCGAGAGCAAGCGGACCUCAUAAAGUGCGUCGUAGUCCGGAUUGGAGUCUGCAACUCGACUCCAUGAAGUCGGAAUCGCUAGUAAUCGUGGAUCAGAAUGCCACGGUGAAUACGUUCCCGGGCCUUGUACACACCGCCCGUCACACCAUGGGAGUGGGUUGCAAAAGAAGUAGGUAGCUUAACCUUCGGGAGGGCGCUACC
This 600-nucleotide ribosomal RNA is filed under the name Escherichia coli. RNAcentral's name for it is "bacterial SSU rRNA". It matches the Rfam family "Bacterial small subunit ribosomal RNA", at positions 857 to 1457 of the family's 1533-position model. The record is from RNAcentral. Lineage: Bacteria; Pseudomonadati; Pseudomonadota; Gammaproteobacteria; Enterobacterales; Enterobacteriaceae.